Molecule: long non-coding RNA, 4481 nt
Filed under: Ananas comosus (pineapple)
Lineage: Eukaryota; Viridiplantae; Streptophyta; Magnoliopsida; Poales; Bromeliaceae
Description: long non-coding RNA (ACOM_LNC007681)
Source: RNAcentral
UUACAAAAAGCUCGGUGGUUUCACAUGUUUCUGCUAUUAUAAACAAAACACGAUAGUCAGAUGAAUAUAUCUAAAACACGCAAAAAAAAAACUCAUUUCUAGAGUAGGCCUGCUAUACUCUUAUGAGUAUAGACCUCUUUGUACUCAUAAGUUUUCGGUCGUUCAAUAAAAAGAUAUGCGGUUAGGAUGAUAGUGGUCCCCUAGAGUUGAGUGGAUGGUUAAUUGAAUAGUAUGAUCUGAUCUAAUAGGUGAAAAUGGUUAAAGAGGUAGAUCUAACAACAAACUUAUGAGUAUAAAGGGAUCUAUACUAAUAAGAGUAUAGUAGCCGGACUCCUCAUUUCCAAAUCUAAGAGCUGGCGAUUCAUUUUUUUUGUUGAGUGCUGCUGGAGGGAACCAGCAUGUAAAAAACUUCAUUGCUAACUUGUCACACCCCGGGGCCGAUUUUAAAAGCCAUUUUGAAAACAGAGUUGCGGAAAACGUGCCAUUUUUUUUUAUUUUUUUUUUUUUCAACCUGGCCAACGUGACGUACAGACCCGCCACAAAUACAAAGUUCCUCUGUCCACUCGGGUAGAGUCUCCUUUGUAUUUGCACGGCGUACCAACGGAUACAACAGGAUCUCAACCACAACCUACAUUUACCAAUCAACAACCAAAGCAUGAUAUGCAUUUCCAUACAGCCAACAAUCCUUAGAAUGAUGCAUGCCUCUAAGCACUCCUUAGGCGUUGGAUGAUGCAAUGCACAAUACAACAAACAUCCUAUUUAAAAGUGCUCCCCACACGGAAGCUUUUGUUUUUAAACUCUAAUUCAAUCAUUCAUAAAAACCAUUCGAAAACCUUUUUAAAACUGUUUCCCACACGGAAACUCUAUUUUGAAAACCGACUACCUCGAGGGGUAGAAAACCACGAUGCAUAACUACAAGAAAACCAAAUCUCCACAGAACCAAAACCACAGAUCGAAAACUCCAAUCUCAUGUAUAAAAGAAACCAACACCACAGUGCACAUACAUUCAAGCAUACAUAAGAUCAGCUAACUGAACCAUUAUUAAGAAAACUACUAAAUGCGGGAAAGAAAUGACCAGGGUGACGGUCGCUACUGCCGUCUAACUAGAUCGUCCUCUCGUCGAGCCCAAAAUCCAACUCCUCGUCUCUGUCACCUGGGGGGGGGAAAGGGGGGUGAGAAACCGCAACCAUGGUUUUCUCAGUGGGUACGACAGAGCCACGAAGGCAAGUCGUAAUCACCGGAAACCAAAAGAGAUAGAUAAACAAAUAUAUAUCUGUAAGCUGAUAUGAAAUAGAACUACAGUAGCUACAACAGAUAAAUAGGAAGCAAUAAAUGAACCUGCUACUGUAUAGAAAACAAUGCAAAGAAUGCUUCAAUGUACUGAAUCAGAAACUGUACCCAAUCUGUGCCUGCUAUAUUGGUCCGUAGACCUCAAGCGCUGCCUGUCACUAACUGCACCGACCUGAUCCAUCCGCCCCGCAGGACGACCCAUCCGGAUAAGUACACCUUCGAUCGGUGGCCAAACCGAUCCGGUGUCAUGAAUACCCCCAAGUGCCGUGACUAAGUCAUGCUGGUAUGCUCAAACAAAAACAAACCCGGCUAAAGCCGGUGCCUAGGCCGAAGCCAACAACGAGGGUGUACAAUGCCAAACUGAAAUGGAUGCUAGGGCGUACAANUAAUAAUAUUUUAUAAACGGAACUCUAACGGAUUACUAACGGCAGAGGGCGAAAUGAAUAUUUUUUAUUUUACAAGAGGGCAAAGUGUAGUUUUAAAUGAUAGGAAGGGAAAGUAAAAAAUCGGAUUUUGACAUAAGAGUUUUAUAUAAUUUAGCCUAUAUUUUUUUAUACCAAAAAUGCCCUCAACCUUCUCUCCUAUGAACAUGGUGAGCAAAAUGGUGAGGAGCGAAAUAGUCAUUUUAUCAUCACAGUUUACAUUGUAAUCCCCUAUAAAUAUUUUUUGUUUUACAAGGGGGCAAAGUAUAGGUUUUUAAAUGACAGGGGGGAAAAAUGAAAAAUCGAAUUUUUACAGGAAAAUUUUUUGUAAUUUAGCCAAAAAAAUAUAUAAAAAUUUUUAAAAAUAAAGAAGUAAAAUAAAAAAAUAAAUAUUUAGAAAAAGGUUUUAUUGCAAAUGUGUCACGGUCCGCAAGUGAAUUAUGAGGUCAAUUUUUUUAGCAAACUAAGAGGGCCAUGUCCACCAAAAAUAAUUUAAGCUAUUUAAAUAUACUACUGUUUUACAUUUGUCUAUAAAAAUCGUUGGAGCAUGUUACUGCCUUACUCCCCUUCUAUCUUUAGUCUCUAGACAUGCAUACAGAGUUGGAAGAUAAAUCAACCAUUUUUCUCCACUCAUCUACUCUGUCAACACACAGGGAAGCUCCGCUUCCUUCAAAACAUGAAAUUGCACAACUGAACAUUCCAAACAGGCUACUGCAGUUGCGUGCCGCAAAAGCUAUUCGCAAUGCUGUAGCCAACAACUACCAAACGCUACCGAGUGUCUCUAGUACAAGUGGCAAAAAAUUUGGUGGUUGAUGCCUGAGGUCUCAAGUUCGUAUUCUAAUUGAUUUAUAUUUUCAGCUAAUUUUAUUUCUAAAUAAAAUAAAAUAAAUGAAGCAAGUAGCAUGCUAUUUAUCUCUCUUUCAAAAGAAAAAAAAAAAAGAAGCAAUUACAUUACAGUAGAAAAUAGUAGAUGUUUCGACUUUCAAUACAAGCAGCAUCCUCCAGCGCGGGCCGAAGAACAAAUUUUCAUUUAAUGAAAUUAAAUUGCACAAUAUUCAUGUCUACAAACUUAAGGGUGCGUUUGGUUCACGCUAUCUUUUAAAAAUUUCUAGUAAUCUAAUGGAAAUAAAAAAAGAUGACGGUGUUUGACUAAACGCAAUAAGUAAUCUAGUUGAUAAUAUUGGAUUCACUUCGGAAUAAGAUUUAUCCCAAAAUACUAAUCUCAUUCCCUUCAGGGAGGGUGAGUAUCCUCAUAUCCUCAUAUUAAUGGAUUGGGGUAAUCAUAAUAUAUCUAAUCUUUUUCUUUCUUCCUACCCGCCGGAUAAUUGGUAUUAUUUUUCUUUACACUAUAAUCUUAUCUCUCUCUAAACUUUUUUUUUCUCUCUCUAAACUAAGCUCUCUCUCUCUUUCUAAAAUUUCAACUCUCUCACUCCCUCUAAUUUGAACUAUAUUUUUCUUUUUAUUUUUUAAUUAUGCUCUCUUUCUCUAACUUAUACUCUCUCUCCCUUUUUUUUUUUUUAAAGAUGUUGAAAUUUUUAAUAACAUUAUCUAAAAUUAAUUAAAUAAAUAAAGUAAUUAAUUGUAUAUUUUUUGUAAUAUUAAAUAACAUGGCUAAUUAAUAUUACCGUGCGAACCAAAUACAAAAAUUUCACAUUCUUAGUAAUAAGAUGAAUAGGAAUAAAAUUCUCGAAUAUCUUUUAUUCCUAGUAAUCUUUCAUAAUGCAAACCAAACGCACCCUAAAUAGUAACCCUAAAAUUGGGCAAUUUUUUGUAUACCCCUGACUACUCUUUGACUUUUCUCAAAUUUACACUUCAUUUUCCAAAAUACCCUUUAAAAAUCCAAGUCUCUCAAUAAACCCAUAAAAGCAGGAUUAUAUUUGAAAGAAAACUGGCAUAUUUAUAGGAGCGAAUUUGGAAACACAAAGAGCAAUUUUGACAAGCAAAAGUAAAUUAGACAUUUUUCAAAAUUCAAAGAGCAAAUUAGAUAUUAUCCCUAAAACCAUAAACUUUUAGUCACGAAAACACGAUUAUGUGCUGGCCCUGGCCAUACUAAUCCUUAUCUUCAGUACAGGAAUACCCCCCAAACUUGAGAUGCCACUGAAAAUAAUUGGUCAUGAUAUUAUUGCACCAAACGAGCACUUUGGAAUUAAAAAUGAUGGAAUUACAGCCACCGACUUGCAAUCACAUAAAAAUUUGAAGUUUGAACAAAACAUGGACCUACUACCAAUCAGGUUCCCUGAUGUGUGAUUGAUCAGUCCCCACAGUUUAUGCUUUAAGUAUAUUUAUACACAAAUACGUACACACGCAAGUGUACAUGUGCUGUAUGAGUUGACAUAAAUCUCAAGGAUCUUAAACACUAAGCCAUGGCGGAAACACUUUACACAUUUAAGUUUACAAAAAGCUCGGUGGUUUCACAUGUUUCUGCUAUUAUAAACAAAACACGAUAGUCAGAUGAAUAUAUCUAAAACACGCAAAAAAAAAACUCAUUUCUAGAGUAGGCCUGCUAUACUCUUAUGAGUAUAGACCUCUUUGUACUCAUAAGUUUUCGGUCGUUCAAUAAAAAGAUAUGCGGUUAGGAUGAUAGUGGUCCCCUAGAGUUGAGUGGAUGGUUAAUUGAAUAGUAUGAUCUGAUCUAAUAGGUGAAAAUGGUUAAAGAGGUAGAUCUAACAACAAACUUAUGAGUAUAAAGGGAUCUAUACUAAUAAGAGUAUAGUAGCCGGACUCCUCAUUUCCAAAUCUAAGAGCUGGCGAUUCAUUUUUUUUGUUGAG